GGCUUCUCCUAGAGGCCUUGGGAACCAGGCGCUCUGUUACGGCCUGGGCUGCAGUGCCCGGGCAGACGGCGCCCGCGGCCCACGACGCUUCCGCAGGGUCGGUGGCCAGUGAGCUUCGCCGCCUGGCCUCCUGCCGACCGCCGAUCGCCUGUGUUCGCGGCCUUUUCUCAUCCACGGUCCUCAGUUCCCUCGCCUUCGAAAAUGGCGAGGCGAGUGUCGGGGUCAGUCCAGCCUAGGAUUGGAAUGCUGACCUGCUUUUUGGGUGGGAGGGCAGGAGGAAAGAUUCCCCACGCCGAGGGGCAACUGAGGCCAUGGACCGAAACCAAAGAAGCCACCACAAUGAGAAGCCCAAGCACCAUAACUAAAGAGUAGCCCCCACUCACCACAACUAGAGAAAGACUGCAUGCAGCAAUGAAGACCCAGCACAGCCAAAAAUAAAUAAAUGAAUGAAUGGGAAAAAAAAAAAAAAAAGAUUCUCUGGGCCACUAAUCCCAGUGAAAGAAAAGAAAGGAAAAGUCCUGCAAGAAACCAUGGGAGAAUUUGUGUUAAUCUCCAAGAGACCUUUCUGAAUUAUUAAUAGAACACAAACCCCUGAAGCCAUAAAUGACUGAAAAAACUACCUACAUAAAUAUCAAAACAUGAUGUGUGACAAAGACCUACAGGCAAAGUCCAAAGGCAAAGGACAAACUAGGAAUAAAUAUUUGUAAUUGUUAAUAAUCAAUAAUCAAAGGACUACUUUCCCUAAUAAACAGUCCCUACUAAUUAAUAAGAAAAGGACUGAUUCAUAUAAAUGGGCAAAAGAUAGGAACCAUCAGUUCACAGGAAAAAAAAAACCAAACAGAUGGCUCUUAACCAUAUGAAGAGAAGAAAUGAAAAUUAAAAAUUGACCGAGAUCCCAGUUUUCACCUACAAUGACAACAAAAUCUGAAAGUUUGAUGACUCAUGGGGUUGGUGGAACUGAGUGGAAAUAGACACGAUCAUUCAUUGUUACCACAUCCAAACAUGAAUACCAUCCAACCGUAAAGAAGACAAACAAGGAAGCUCGUUGCUGAUAGGGAACAAUCUCAGAUCAGUUGACAAAAGGGAAAUUCAAGGUGAUGGCCGGUGGGUAGAGAAGGUUUUCAUCUGUGUUUUAAAAACUAUUCUGUGAGAGAAAGUGGAGGGGGAAAAAAUGUACAUACUGUGUAUCUGUAUUUGGAUGUGUAUGUAUGAGCUCUCUGGAAAGAAAAAAAAGAGCUAGCAUUGGUUGUCUCUAGAGAGCUAGGACCAGGAGCAGAGGAAGCGUCAUUGUACACCCUUUGUAUCUUUCACACUUUGUGCAUUAUCCAUGUUUUAUUUAUUCUAAGUCAUACAUGAAUACUGAUUACCCAGACAGCCUCGUCACCAGCCAAGGAACCAACUCUUUUACUGGCUCCCAAUAUGUAAAGAAUAGUGACUAUACACUUCAUUUUUCUUAAAUCAAAAUUAAACAUGUGUGAAGAGGGACUUCCCUGGUGGUCCAGUGGUUAAGACUCCUCACUUUCACCACAGGGGGCAUGGGUUCAGUCCCUGGGCAAAGAAUUAAGAUCCUGUAAGCCCAACUGCAUGCCCCCCCCUCCAAAAAAAAGAAAGAAGAAAGUGUGGGGUUGCGAACGACAGAUUCCUGCCAACUCUCCUGUUUCACCUCAUCUUCACUGCCCAGAAAGAAUCAGCUCCUUACCUCAUUUUGGACUUGCUUCUGGUCCUUAUUUCCAUGCUGGUAAAUAAAUGUUUUUGUGGCUGGCUGUUGUCUGAAAUUUUAGGUCUUACCUCUAGAGUCCUGCUAAUGAUGAGUCAGGUUAUUAAAACCACAGCCAGCCUCCCCUGCCCACAUGUCAAAAUAAUUAUUUGUGUACAUGUUUUACAUCCUCUAUUAAUCAUUUUUAUAACUGAA
This is a long non-coding RNA of Bubalus bubalis (water buffalo), 1912 nucleotides long. RefSeq lists it as uncharacterized. The transcript has 2 exons. Lineage: Eukaryota; Metazoa; Chordata; Mammalia; Artiodactyla; Bovidae. The record is from RefSeq and is a predicted model, not a curated record.